GUGCUAACUUCAGCAGCUCAUACACUAAAAUUAGAGCUACAGAGAUUAGCACGGCCCUAUCACAAGGCUGGCAUGCAAAUUAAUGAAUUGUCCUAUAGUUUU
This is a small nuclear RNA of Microtus ochrogaster (prairie vole), 102 nucleotides long. Lineage: Eukaryota; Metazoa; Chordata; Mammalia; Rodentia; Cricetidae. The record is from Ensembl.